UACGGAGGAUCCAAGCGUUAUCCGGAAUCAUUGGGUUUAAAGGGUCCGUAGGCGGGCCUGUAAGUCAGGGGUGAAAGUCUGUGGCUCAACCAUAGAAUUGCCUUUGAUACUGCAGGUCUUGAGUCAUGGGGUUGCCGGAACAUGUGGUGUAGCGGUGAAAUGCAUAGAUAUCACAUAGAACACCGAUCGCGAAGGCAGGUGACCAACCAUGUACUGACGCUGAUGGACGAAAGCGUGGGUAGCGAACGGG
Molecule: unclassified non-coding RNA, 250 nt
Filed under: uncultured Flavobacteriaceae bacterium
Lineage: Bacteria; Pseudomonadati; Bacteroidota; Flavobacteriia; Flavobacteriales; Flavobacteriaceae
Description: contains 16S-23S intergenic spacer region
Rfam family: Bacterial small subunit ribosomal RNA
Source: RNAcentral